This is a long non-coding RNA of Oncorhynchus keta (chum salmon), 3384 nucleotides long. RefSeq lists it as uncharacterized. The transcript is spliced from 7 exons. Lineage: Eukaryota; Metazoa; Chordata; Actinopteri; Salmoniformes; Salmonidae. The record is from RefSeq and is a predicted model, not a curated record.
UGACUAAAUACUUGUGUUUCUAGCUCCAACAGUGCAGUAAUAUCUGACUAAAUACUUGUGUUUCUAGCUCCAACAGUGCAGUAAUAUCUGACUAAAUACUUGUGUUUCUAGCUCCAACAGUGCAGUAAUAUCUGACUAAAUACUUGUGUUUCUAGCUCCAACAGUGCAGUAAUAUCUGACUAAAUACUUGUGUUUCUAGCUCCAACAGUGCAGUAAUAUCUGACUAAAUACUUGUGUUUCUAGCUCCAACAGUGCAGUAAUAUCUGACUAAAUACUUGUGUUUCUAGCUCCAACAGUGCAGUAAUAUCUGACUAAAUACUUGUGUUUCUAGCUCCAACAGUGCAGUAAUAUCUGACUAAAUGCUUGUGUUUCUAGCUCCAACAGUGCAGUAAUAUCUGACUAAAUGCUUGUGUUUCUAGCUCCAACAGUGCAGUAAUAUCUGACUAAAUACUUGUGUUUCUAGCUCCAACAGUGCAGUAAUAUCUGACUAAAUACUUGUGUUUCUAGCUCCAACAGUGCAGUAAUAUUUGACUAAAUACUUGUGUUUCUAGCUCCAACAGUGCAGUAAUAUCUGACUAAAUACUUGUGUUUCUAGCUCCAACAGUGCAGUAAUAUCUGACUAAAUACUUGUGUUUCUAGCUCCAACAGUACAGUAAUAUCUGACUAAAUGCUUGUGUUUCUAGCUCCAACAGUGCAGUAAUAUCUGACUAAAUGCUUGUGUUUCUAGCUCCAACAGUGCAGUAAUAUCUGACUAAAUACUUGUGUUUCUAGCUCCAACAGUGCAGUAAUAUCUGACUAAAUACUUGUUUCUAGCUCCAACAGUGCAGUAAUAUCUGACUAAAUACUUGUGUUUCUAGCUCCAACAGUACAGUAAUAUCUGACUAAAUACUUGUGUUUCUAGCUCCAACAGUGCAGUAAUAUCUAACAAUUCACAACCAUAUACACACAUCUAAAAGUAAAAUAAUGGAAUUAAGUAUAUAAAUAAAUAAGUAUAAUAUAUAUAAGUAUAAGUAUAUACAUAAAUAAGUAUAAUAUAUAGAAGUAUAUAAAUAUUAGGACGAGCAAUGUCGUAGUCUAAUAGAAUACAGUAUAUACAUACAGUAUACAGUAUACAUACAGUAACAUUAUUAAACUGACUAGUGUUCCAUUAUUAAAGUGACCAGUGAUUCCAUGUCUAUAGGGCAGCAGUCUCUAAGGUGCAGGGAUGAGAGUGACUAGUGAUUCCAUGUCUAUAGGGCAGCAGUCUCUAAGGUGCAGGGAUGAGAGUGACUAGUGAUUCCAUGUCUAUAGGGCAGCAGCCUCUAAGGUGCAGGGUUGAGAGUGACUAGUGAUUCCAUGUCUAUAGGGCAGCAGUCUCUAAGGUGCAGGGAUGAGAGUGACUAGUGAUUCCAUGUCUAUAGGGCAGCAGUCUCUAAGGUGCAGGGAUGAGAGUGACUAGUGUUCCAUUAUUAAAGUGACCAGUGAUUCCAUGUCUAUAGGGCAGCAGUCUCUAAGGUGCAGGGAUGAGAGUGACUAGUGAUUCCAUGUCUAUAGGGCAGCAGCCUCUAAGGUGCAGGGAUGAGAGUGACUAGUGUUCCAUUAUUAAAGUGACCAGUGAUUCCAUGUCUAUAGGGCAGCAGCCUCUAAGGUGCAGGGAUGAGAGUGACUAGUGUUCCAUUAUUAAAGUGACCAGUGAUUCCAUGUCUAUAGGGCAGCAGUCUCUAAGGUGCAGGGAUGAGAGUGACUAGUGAUUCCAUGUCUAUAGGGCAGCAGUCUCUAAGGUGCAGGGAUGAGAGUGACUAGUGAUUCCAUGUCUAUAGGGCAGCAGCCUCUAAGGUGCAGGGAUGAGAGUGACUAGUGAUUCCAUGUCUAUAGGGCAGCAGUCUCUAAGGUGCAGGGUUGAGAGUGACUAGUGAUUCCAUGUCUAUAGGGCAGCAGUCUCUAAGGUGCAGGGAUGAGAGUGACUAGUGAUUCCAUGUCUAUAGGGCAGCAGUCUCUAAGGUGCAGGGAUGAGAGUGACUAGUGAUUCCAUGUCUAUAGGGCAGCAGCCUCUAAGGUGCAGGGAUGAGAGUGACUAGUGUUUCCAUGUCUAUAGGGCAGCAGUCUCUAAGGUGCAGGGAUGAGAGUGACUAGUGUUUCCAUGUCUAUAGGGCAGCAGCCUCUAAGGUGCAGGGAUGAGAGUGACUAGUGAUUCCAUGUCUAUAGGGCAGCAGCCUCUAAGGUGCAGGGAUGAGAGUGACUAGUGUUUCCAUGUCUAUAGGGCAGCAGCCUCUAAGGUGCAGGGAUGAGAGUGACUAGUGUUCCAUUAUUAAAGUGACCAGUGAUUCCAUGUCUAUAGGGCAGCAGCCUCUAAGGUGCAGGGAUGAGAGUGACUAGUGAUUCCAUGUCUAUAGGGCAGCAGUCUCUAAGGUGCAGGGAUGAGAGUGACCAGUGAUUCCAUGUCUAUAGGGCAGCAGCCUCUAAGGUGCAGGGAUGAGAGUGACUAGUGAUUCCAUGUCUAUAGGGCAGCAGCCUCUAAGGUGCAGGGAUGAGAGUGACUAGUGAUUCCAUGUCUAUAGGGCAGCAGCCUCUAAGGUGCAGGGAUGAGAGUGACUAGUGUUUCCAUGUCUAUAGGGCAGCAGCCUCUAAGGUGCAGGGUUGAGAGUGACUAGUGAUUCCAUGUCUAUAGGGCAGCAGUCUCUAAGGUGCAGGGAUGAGAGUGACCAGUGAUUCCAUGUCUAUAGGGCAGCAGUCUCUAAGGUGCAGGGAUGAGAGUGACUAGUGAUUCCAUGUCUAUAGGGCAGCAGCCUCUAAGGUGCAGGGAUGAGAGUGACUAGUGAUUCCAUGUCUAUAGGGCAGCAGUCUCUAAGGUGCAGGGAUGAGAGUGACCAGUGAUUCCAUGUCUAUAGGGCAGCAGCCUCUAAGGUGCAGGGAUGAGAGUGACUAGUGAUUCCAUGUCUAUAGGGCAGCAGCCUCUAAGGUGCAGGGAUGAGAGUGACUAGUGAUUCCAUGUCUAUAGGGCAGCAGUCUCUAAGGUGCAGGGAUGAGAGUGACCAGUGAUUCCAUGUCUAUAGGGCAGCAGCCUCUAAGGUGCAGGGAUGAGAGUGACUAGUGAUUCCAUGUCUAUAGGGCAGCAGCCUCUAAGGUGCAGGGAUGAGAGUGACUAGUGAUUCCAUGUCUAUAGGGCAGCAGUCUCUAAGGUGCAGGGUUGAGAGUGACUAGUGUUCCAUUAUUAAAGUGACCAGUGAUUCCAUGUCUAUAGGGCAGCAGCCUCUAAGGUGCAGGGAUGAGAGUGACUAGUGUUCCAUGUCUAUAGGGCAGCAGUCUCUAAGGUGCAGAGUUGAGAGUGACUAGUGAUUCCAUGUCUAUAGGGCAGCAGUCUCUAAGGUGCAGGGUUGAGAGUGACUAGUGAUUCCAUGUCUAUAG